Molecule: ribosomal RNA, 497 nt
Filed under: uncultured bacterium
Lineage: Bacteria
Description: partial 16S ribosomal RNA
Rfam family: Bacterial small subunit ribosomal RNA
Source: RNAcentral
GAUGAACGCUGGCGGCGUGCCUAAUACAUGCAAGUCGAGCGAACAGACGAGGAUCUUGCUCCUCUGACGUUAGCGGCGGACGGGUGAGUAACACGUGGAUAACCUACCUAUAAGACUGGGAUAACUUCGGGAAACCGGAUCUAAUACCGGAUAAUAUAUUGAACCGCAUGGUUCAAUAGUGAAAGACGGUUUUGCUGUCACUUAUAGAUGGAUCCGCGCCGCAUUAGCUAGUUGGUAAGGUAACGGCUUACCAAGGCAACGAUGCGUAGCCGACCUGAGAGGGUGAUCAGCCACACUGGAACUGAGACACGGUCCAGACUCCUACGGGAGGCAGCAGUAGGGAAUCUUCCGCAAUGGGCGAAAGCUUGACGGAGCAACGCCGCGUGAGUGAUGAAGGUCUUCGGAUCGUAAAACUCUGUUAUUAGGGAAGAACAAAUGUGUAAGUAACUAUGCACGUCUUGACGGUACCUAAUCAGAAAGCCAUGGCUAACUACGUG